GAUGAACGCUGGCGGCGUGCUUAACACAUGCAAGUCGAACGGAAAGGCCCAAGCUUGCUUGGGUACUCGAGUGGCGAACGGGUGAGUAACACGUGGGUGAUCUGCCCUGCACUUCGGGAUAAGCCUGGGAAACUGGGUCUAAUACCGGAUAGGACGAUGGUUUGGAUGCCAUUGUGGAAAGUUUUUUCGGUGUGGGAUGAGCUCGCGGCCUAUCAGCUUGUUGGUGGGGUAAUGGCCUACCAAGGCGUCGACGGGUAGCCGGCCUGAGAGGGUGUACGGCCACAUUGGGACUGAGAUACGGCCCAGACUCCUACGGGAGGCAGCAGUGGGGAAUAUUGCACAAUGGGCGCAGGCCUGAUGCAGCGACGCCGCGUGGGGGAUGACGGCCUUCGGGUUGUAAACUCCUUUCGCUAGGGACGAAGCGUUUUUGUGACGGUACCUGGAGAAGAAGCACCGGCUAACGACGUGC
Molecule: ribosomal RNA, 469 nt
Filed under: uncultured bacterium
Lineage: Bacteria
Description: partial 16S ribosomal RNA
Rfam family: Bacterial small subunit ribosomal RNA
Source: RNAcentral